AACGAACGCUGGCGGCGUGCCUAACACAUGCAAGUCGAACGGAGAUAAGAAGCUUGCUUCUUAUUUUAGUGGCGCACGGGUGAGUAACGCGUGGAUAAUCUACCUGAUGCUCUGGGAUAACAUCUCGAAAGGGGUGCUAAUACCGGAUAAGCCCACGAUCUCUUCGGAGAAUGCGGGAAAAGGAGGGGACCUUCGGGCCUUCCGACGUCAGAUGAGUCCGCGUCCCAUUAGCUAGUUGGCGGGGUAAUGGCCGACCAAGGCUACGAUGGGUAGCGGGUCUGAGAGGAUGAUCAGCCACACUGGAACUGAGACACGGUCCAGACUCCUACGGGAGGCAGCAGUGGGGAAUUUUGCGCAAUGGGGGAAACCCUGACGCAGCAACGCCGCGUGAGUGAUGAAGGCUUUCGGGUCGUAAAGCUCUGUCAGAAGGGAAGAAAUGUAGGUGGCUAAUAUCCAUUCUACUUGACGGUACCUUCAAAGGAAGCACCGGCUAACUCCGUGCCAGCCGCCGCCGUAA
Molecule: ribosomal RNA, 517 nt
Filed under: uncultured bacterium
Lineage: Bacteria
Description: partial 16S ribosomal RNA
Rfam family: Bacterial small subunit ribosomal RNA
Source: RNAcentral